GUGAGGAAUAUUGCGCAAUGGAGGCAACUCUGACGCAGCCAUGCCGCGUGCAGGAAGAAGGCGCUACGCGUUGUAAACUGCUUUUAUCUGGGAAGAAAAAGGCCAUGCGUGGCAAAUUGCCGGUACCAGAUGAAUAAGCACCGACUAACUCCGUGCCAGCAGCCGCGGUAAUACGGAGGGUGCGAGCGUUGUCCGGAUUUAUUGGGUUUAAAGGGUGCGUAGGCGACUGAUUAAGUCAGCGGUGAAAGACUUCGGCUUAACCGGAGCAGUGCCGUUGAUACUGGUUGGCUUGAGUGUCGGAGGGGUACAUGGAAUUGAUGGUGUAGCGGUGAAAUGCAUAGAUACCAUCAGGAACACCGAUAGCGAAGGCAUUGUACUGGCCGACAACUGACGCUGAUGCACGAAAGUGUGGGGAUCGAACAGGAUUAGAUACCCCAGUAGUCC
RNAcentral lists this ribosomal RNA (444 nucleotides) under uncultured bacterium. Its description in RNAcentral is "partial 16S ribosomal RNA". It matches the Rfam family "Bacterial small subunit ribosomal RNA", at positions 354 to 796 of the family's 1533-position model. The record is from RNAcentral.